Molecule: ribosomal RNA, 253 nt
Filed under: uncultured bacterium
Lineage: Bacteria
Description: partial 16S ribosomal RNA
Rfam family: Bacterial small subunit ribosomal RNA
Source: RNAcentral
CACGUAGGGCGCAAGCGUUGUCCGGAAUUAUUGGGCGUAAAGAGCUCGUAGGCGGUCUGUUGCGUCCGCUGUGAAAACUCGGGGCUUAACCCCGAGCCUGCAGUGGAUACGGGCAGACUAGAGGUAGGUAGGGGAGAAUGGAAUUCCCGGUGUAGCAGUGAAAUGCGUAGAUAUCAAGCGGAACACCAGUGGCGAAGGCGAGUCCCUGGACAACUCCUGACACUGAGGCACGAAAGCUAGGGGAGCAAACAGG